This 228-nucleotide long non-coding RNA is filed under the name Ricinus communis (castor bean). RNAcentral's name for it is "long non-coding RNA (RCOM_LNC002361)". Lineage: Eukaryota; Viridiplantae; Streptophyta; Magnoliopsida; Malpighiales; Euphorbiaceae. The record is from RNAcentral.
UGGUCGAUACCGCCAGAGUAACUUCCACUACCAUAGUACGGCACGACAGGCUGCGCACUGGACUGACCCUCAACCCUGGUUUUCUUCUUCCUACAAUCGUCAGUCCCUUGACUAAACCCUCGUAGCGUCAUCUCCAUCUGCCUCGCCAUGUCAGUAACUUCUAGGAAACUGCUCCUCCUAGAUUGAACCAAGGAAACAAACUCUGGGCCGAGCCCUAAAAUGUAUUUG